AUCGGAAGUGCGAAUGCUGACAUGAGUAGCCGAUAAAGAGGGGUGAGAUGCCCUCUCGCCGAAAGACCAAGGGUUCCUGCUUAAAGCUAAUCUGAGGAGGGUGAGCCGGCCCCUAAGACGAGCCCGAAGGGGGUAGUCGAUGGGAACCACGUUAAUAUUCGUGGGCCUGGUGGUGUGUGACGGAUCUCGUGUAUUGUACAACCUUAUCGGAUUGGUUGUGCUUUGAAGAGGUUCCAGGAAAUAGCCCCACCGUAUAGACCGUACCCGAAACCGACACAGGUGGUCAGGUAGAGUAUACCAAGGCGCUUGAGAGAAGUAUCCUGAAGGAACUCGGCAAAUUGCCUCCGUACCUUCGGAAGAAGGAGGCCCUGUCUAUGCGCAAGCACUGGCAGGGGGCACAGGCCAGGGGGUAGCGACUGUUUAGCAAAAACACAGGACUCUGCUAAGUCGGCUUCAAGACGACGUAUAGGGUCUGACGCCUGCCCGGUGCCGGAAGGUUAAGAGGAGGAGUGCAAGCUCCGAAUUGAAGCCCCGGUAAACGGCGGCCGUAACUAUAACGGUCCUAAGGUAGCGAAAUUCCUUGUCGGGUAAGUUCCGACCUGCACGAAUGGCGUAACGACUUCCCCACUGUCUCCAGGAUAUGCUCAGCGAAAUUGAAUUCUCCGUGAAGAUGCGGAGUACCCGCGGUUAGACGGAAAGACCCCGUGCACCUUUACUGCAGCUUCAGAGUGGCAUUGGAAAAUUAUUGUGUAGCAUAGGUGGGAGGCUUUGAAGCAACGGCGCCAGCUGUUGUGGAGCCAUAGGUGAAAUACCACCCUGUGAUUUUUUAAUGUCUAACCUCGUACCGUUAGCCGGUACAGGGACCCUCUGUGGCGGGUAGUUUGACUGGGGCGGUCGCCUCCUAAAGAGUAACGGAGGCGCGCGAUGGUAGGCUCAGGCCGGUUGGAAACCGGCUGCAAGAGUGCAAUGGCAUAAGCCUGCCUGACUGCGAGAUUGACGAAUCGAGCAGAGACGAAAGUCGGUCAUAGUGAUCCGGUGGUCCCUCGUGGAAGGGCCAUCGCUCAACGGAUAAAAGGU
Molecule: non-coding RNA, 1077 nt
Filed under: Corchorus olitorius
Lineage: Eukaryota; Viridiplantae; Streptophyta; Magnoliopsida; Malvales; Malvaceae
Description: Bacterial large subunit ribosomal RNA
Rfam family: Bacterial large subunit ribosomal RNA
Source: Rfam by way of RNAcentral